CUCGUAGGCGGCCAACUAAGUCAGACGUGAAAUCCCUCGGCUUAACCGGGGAACUGCGUCUGAUACUGGAUGGCUCGAGUUUGGGAGAGGGAUGCGGAAUUCCAGGUGUAGCGGUGAAAUGCGUAGAUAUCUGGAGGAACACCGGUGGCGAAGGCGGCAUCCUGGACCAACACUGACGCUGAGUGAGCGAAAGCCAGGGAGCAAACG
RNAcentral lists this ribosomal RNA (207 nucleotides) under uncultured bacterium. RNAcentral's name for it is "partial 16S ribosomal RNA". It matches the Rfam family "Bacterial small subunit ribosomal RNA", at positions 568 to 774 of the family's 1533-position model. The record is from RNAcentral.